CACGUAGGGUGCGAGCGUUGUCCGGAAUUAUUGGGCGUAAAGAGCUCGUAGGCGGUUUGUCGCGUCUGCUGUGAAAACUCGGGGCUUAACCCCGGGCCUGCAGUGGGUACGGGCAGACUAGAGUGCGGUAGGGGAGACUGGAAUUCCUGGUGUAGCGGUAAAAUGCGCAGAUAUCAGGAGGAACACCGGUGGCGAAGGCGGGUCUCUGGGCCGUAACUGACGCUGAGGAGCGAAAGCGUGGGGAGCGAACAGG
RNAcentral lists this ribosomal RNA (253 nucleotides) under uncultured bacterium. RNAcentral describes it as "partial 16S ribosomal RNA". It matches the Rfam family "Bacterial small subunit ribosomal RNA", at positions 524 to 776 of the family's 1533-position model. The record is from RNAcentral.